This 377-nucleotide ribosomal RNA is filed under the name uncultured organism. Its description in RNAcentral is "partial 16S ribosomal RNA". It matches the Rfam family "Bacterial small subunit ribosomal RNA", at positions 527 to 897 of the family's 1533-position model. The record is from RNAcentral.
GUAGGUGGCAAGCGUUGUCCGGGAAUUAUUGGGGCGUAAAGCGCGCGCAGGCGGUUCUUUAAGUCUGAUGUGAAAGCCCACGGGCUCAACCGUGGGAGGGUCAUUGGAAACUGGAGAACUUGAGUACAGAAGAGGAAAGCGGAAUUCCACGUGUAGCGGUGAAAUGCGUAGAGAUGUGGAGGAACACCAGUGGCGAAGGCGGCUUUCUGGUCUGUAACUGACGCUGAGGCGCGAAAGCGUGUGGAGCAAACAGGAUUAGAUACCCUGGUAGUCCACGCCGUAAACGAUGAGUGCUAAGUGUUAGGGGGUUUCCGCCCCUUAGUGCUGCAGCUAACGCAUUAAGCACUCCGCCUGGGGAGUACGGCCGCAAAGGCUGA